Molecule: long non-coding RNA, 1146 nt
Filed under: Oryza sativa tropical japonica subgroup
Lineage: Eukaryota; Viridiplantae; Streptophyta; Magnoliopsida; Poales; Poaceae
Description: lncRNA OsCMeo_07g0016700
Source: RNAcentral
CGCGUGAGAGAAGAAAAAACGCUAGAAAAAAAAAAUCAUCCAUCGCCGCUUGCGACUCCGAGCGGCGCCACCGCCGCCACCACCGCCGUCUGCCACCGCCACCGCCGCCGUCUGCCACCGCGCCGCCGCCGCCGCCCUCUGCUGCCGCCGCUCUACUCCCCGGAUCUACACACACCAUCCUGCUUCGCUCCCGUUCCAUGCCCAAAACUUGCAUAUCACUUGCGCCUCAAACAAGCUAGGGUAGUCGUCGGGGGGAGGGGGGCGCUUGCUGCUCCCUCCGCCGGCACCAUCUCCAGUCCCGGUGUCGUCUCUCGCUGUUGGAUCCGGAGUCGCGCCUCCACUUUCUUCAUCCUAGUCGAGCCGAGCCACUUUGGGAUCUACCGUUGCUGCCUUUAUACUGUGUCGACUAUUGCGAGACAUAACUCAGCUAACCAAGGAAAUUCGGUGGCACUAACUGAGGUGUUCAAGCACAAUAGCAUUGAUAAUGCACUGCAAAGUGUUGUUGGACACAAGAGAAAGGUGCAUGAUCUAACACCAAAGGAGAAUAUAGGACGUGAAGAUACACAUUCUAGGGCAAAGAAGAUUGGGAAGGCCAGACCCGAUUCUCCAUAUGCUAACUUCACCAAUAGCCAACUGUUAACAACUUCCCGGUUCUAGCUCAAGUAAAUUGCCCCUCACUCCCUCUCUCCAUCUCUUAAUUCUUUUUGCAAUCAUAUGUGGACAAUGUAUUAUAUUUAGGUGAUUAAUGAGUACAGGAGUUCUAGCAAAUGAAUAUUAAUCCUAGUGAUAUGCUUUGUAGGUGUUGCUGCUGCAUCUGUUUAUUCUUAAAGAACUAUAGUUCAUGAGCUCAAUCUUGUUUGUGUAAAUAAUAGGAAAUAUGCAUGGUAUGUUAUGAAUUACUAUGAAACUGGUUCUUAUAUUUUGAUGGCAAUGGAUGUUAUGUUAUGGCCGGGAUUAAUUCCCAUACUUUGCCCUGCAAGGUUGGAUGAAAAGAUGUUGGUUUACCUCUUCUCAUGUUGUGAUUUGCUACUUUGCCCUCUAAUCGCCAUGUGCAAGAUGAUGUCUAACAUGACUUUGUAGCAUGGAUAUGAUAGGCACCUGAAUGCAAAUGUAUAUAUUGCAACACGCAUGUAUAUAUAUAUAUAU